AGUGAACGCUGGCGGUAGGCCUAACACAUGCAAGUCGAACGGCAGCACAGUAAGAGCUUGCUCUUACGGGUGGCGAGUGGCGGACGGGUGAGGAAUACAUCGGAAUCUACUUUUUCGUGGGGGAUAACGUAGGGAAACUUACGCUAAUACCGCAUACGACCUACGGGUGAAAGCAGGGGAUCUUCGGACCUUGCGCGAUUGAAUGAGCCGAUGUCGGAUUAGCUAGUUGGCGGGGUAAAGGCCCACCAAGGCGACGAUCCGUAGCUGGUCUGAGAGGAUGAUCAGCCACACUGGAACUGAGACACGGUCCAGACUCCUACGGGAGGCAGCAGUGGGGAAUAUUGGACAAUUGGCGCAAGCCUGAUCCAGCCAUACCGCGUGGGUGAAGAAGGCCUUCGGGUUGGAAAGCCCUUUUGUUGGGAAAGAAAAGCAGCAGGUUAAUACCCCGCUGUUCUGACGGUACCCAAAGAAUAAGCACCGGCUAACUUCGUG
This 492-nucleotide ribosomal RNA is filed under the name uncultured bacterium. RNAcentral describes it as "partial 16S ribosomal RNA". It matches the Rfam family "Bacterial small subunit ribosomal RNA", at positions 29 to 507 of the family's 1533-position model. The record is from RNAcentral.